Molecule: ribosomal RNA, 353 nt
Filed under: Thanatophyllum akinetum
Lineage: Eukaryota; Metazoa; Arthropoda; Insecta; Blattodea; Blaberidae
Description: partial 12S ribosomal RNA
Source: RNAcentral
UUUAAAUUUAAAUUAGUCGACUUGAGUAGUAGUAGUUAUGAUCUUGAAACUUAAAGAAUUUGGCGGUAUUUUAGUCUAUUUAGAGGAAUUUGUCCCGUAAUCGAUAGUCCACGUUAGACCUUACUUAGAUUUAUUCAUGUAUACCGCCGUUUAUUGAAAAUCUUUAUAGGGAUUAAUUUUCUUAAUAUAAAAUAUUAUAAUAUUUCAGGUCAAGGUGCAGUUUAUAUUUAAGAGGAGAUGAAUUACAAUAUUAAGAUAAAUAGACGGAAUUUAUAUUGUAAUUUAUAAAUAAAGGUGGAUUUAAUAGUAAUGUUAGAUAAGAUAGAGAUGAUGAUUUAAGCUCUAAAAUGUGC